GCUCAGUGGUAGAGUGCAUGCUUACCAUGCGUGAGGUCCUGGGUUCAAUCCCCAG
This 55-nucleotide transfer RNA is filed under the name Camelus bactrianus (Bactrian camel). It matches the Rfam family "tRNA", at positions 10 to 63 of the family's 71-position model. From Rfam's summary of the family: Transfer RNA (tRNA) molecules are approximately 80 nucleotides in length. Their secondary structure includes four short double-helical elements and three loops (D, anti-codon, and T loops). RNAcentral also lists the same sequence under 2 other names. Lineage: Eukaryota; Metazoa; Chordata; Mammalia; Artiodactyla; Camelidae. The record is from Rfam by way of RNAcentral.